AUGCCUAACCAAGAUAAUGCUCUCCAAGUUGAAAAGGUAAAGAAGAAGAGAAAGGGGAGCACAUGUUGCUAUAUUUGCCGUAAGAAGGGACACAUAGCUUCAUCUUGUUCCAACGGUAACAUAUCUAAGCCUCCUAUAGUCAAUAAUCAUUAUUUGCUAAAGAAGGAUAUUGUUGGCAAUGUGUUUGCCAAGUUUUUGGGUUCCCAGAGAAGUUUGAAAGUGGACAAGACCAUUUGGGUUGCCAAGCCUAUUGUUACUAAAAUCUUAGGACCCAACUUGGUUGGGGACCAUCAAGCUCAAACUUGA
RNAcentral lists this ribosomal RNA (306 nucleotides) under Triticum aestivum (bread wheat). RNAcentral's name for it is "partial small subunit ribosomal RNA". The record is from RNAcentral. Lineage: Eukaryota; Viridiplantae; Streptophyta; Magnoliopsida; Poales; Poaceae.